This 482-nucleotide ribosomal RNA is filed under the name uncultured bacterium. RNAcentral's name for it is "bacterial SSU rRNA". It matches the Rfam family "Bacterial small subunit ribosomal RNA", at positions 28 to 493 of the family's 1533-position model. The record is from RNAcentral.
GAUAGACGCUGGCGGCGCACAUAAGACAUGCAAGUCGAACGGAAGUCGUUAUACAAGGAGAGAAGACUUAUCGGAUUGAAUUAUAUAACAAUGGCUUUAGUGGCGGACUGGUGAGUAACGCGUAAGAAAUCUACCUAUCAGAGGGGAACAACAAUGAGAAAUCAUUGCUAAUACCGCAUAUGCCAUAAACAUCGCAUGAUGAAAGUGGGAAAGGAGCAAUCCGCUGAUAGAUGAUCUUGCGUCUGAUUAGUUAGUUGGUGGGGUAAUGGCCUACCAAGACGACGAUCAGUAGCCGGACUGAGAGGUUGAACGGCCACAUUGGGACUGAGAUACGGCCCAGACUCCUACGGGAGGCAGCAGUCGGGAAUAUUGCGCAAUGGAGGAAACUCUGACGCAGUGACGCCGCGUGCAGGAAGAAGGUUUUCGGAUUGUAAACUGCUUUAGACAGGGAAGAGAAAGGACAGUACCUGUAGAAUAAGCUC